Molecule: long non-coding RNA, 952 nt
Filed under: Bos taurus (domestic cattle)
Lineage: Eukaryota; Metazoa; Chordata; Mammalia; Artiodactyla; Bovidae
Description: long non-coding RNA NONBTAT005012
Source: RNAcentral
UUUGACUUUCAAUUCUGGGUUUAUGAUGAGCAGCUCCCAUUGAAGAAGAAACCAGAACUUUGGCUAUUAGAAACUUUUUAUUUUACAAAUACAAAGACUUAUUUAUGUCAAGUAAUUGAGUUCCCAGAUGUUCUCAUUCUGUAUCAGUGACUGUAAACAGUGUCAGCCUUGGUAAUAUGACACAAUGAAUAUAUAUGUAUUCACAUUCAUAUUCAGGAGUCAGCCUCAACACUACAGUCAAUUCACAGGUUAUCUUGCUCAUUCCUGGAAACUGGUGUUUAUUGACUGUGCAGAUGAUAAAAUUGUCUUUGUUUUAUUUAUUCCAUAUGAGCCUGCAAAGUAUUCUAGAAGAAAUAUUACUUCUUGCCCCUCUAUUCCCAUUCAUCCUAUCCCCUUUACUAAAGUAAACUGAGGUAUCUGGAUAUAGCAAUCUAAUUUGGGAUGACUCAAGAGAGAUACAGAAAAAGAUAGGUAACAUUGAAUACUCAAAAUUCAAUAAUGAAAAAUAAUUACUUUAGUGAAAAGCCAGCUGUUCUUUCUUUCCUAAUAGGCAUGUGAUGUUGAUGAAAAAUAGCAUUCAAGUAAAGUUUACCAAGUAGGACUGGUUUGAUUCGGGGUAUUAUAUUAUUCUGCAGAAUAGGAAAUGUUAUUUAGGUUGAACAAAAAGCUGAACAGUCCAGCCAGUCCAAAAGACCCAAAUACCAAAGGAUUAUCUUUAGAGAAUGAAAAAUGCUGGUGCAUUAUAUGUAAGGCAAUGCAUGAUAAUUCUUUCAGAGAAUAUUCUGCCUGUGUUUUCUAUGUCCUUCAAAUUUCAUUUGAAUGAAUGCUUUAUGGAUUUCUGUGACGCUUGGGGACAUGUUAAAAUACCAUUGCAAACAUACCAGGGAACUCAGGUUUAGAUAAUUCUCGAUUUGAAUGAUUAUAGCAUGCUGCUGUAUCCCAUUUGGAAAAA